This 283-nucleotide ribosomal RNA is filed under the name uncultured bacterium. Its description in RNAcentral is "partial 16S ribosomal RNA". It matches the Rfam family "Bacterial small subunit ribosomal RNA", at positions 28 to 334 of the family's 1533-position model. The record is from RNAcentral.
GAUUAACGCUGGCGGGAUGCAUAACACAUGCAAGUCGAGCGGCAGCACUUCGGGUGGCGAGCGGCGAACGGCUGAGUAACACGUUGGUACCUGCCUUGAACUCAGGGAUAAGCACCGGAAACGGUGUCUAAUACCGGAUAUCCCAGUAAUGGGAAAGCUUCGGCGGUUCAAGAGGGGCCUGCGGCGUAUCACGCUUGUUGGUAAGGUAACGGCUUACCAAGGCUAUGACGCGUACCUGGUGUGAGAGCACGACCAGGCAGAAUGGGACUGAGACACGGCCCAU